This 301-nucleotide ribosomal RNA is filed under the name uncultured bacterium. Its description in RNAcentral is "partial 16S ribosomal RNA". It matches the Rfam family "Bacterial small subunit ribosomal RNA", at positions 509 to 809 of the family's 1533-position model. The record is from RNAcentral.
CAGUAGCCGCGGGAAUACAGAGGGUGCGAGCGUUAAUCGGAUUUACUGGGCGUAAAGCGUGCGUAGGCGGCUUCUUAAGUCGGAUGUGAAAUCCCUGAGCUUAACUUAGGAAUUGCAUUCGAUACUGGGAAGCUAUAGUAUGGGAGAGGAUGGUAGAAUUCCAGGUGUAGCGGUGAAAUGCGUAGAGAUCUGGAGGAAUACCGAUGGCGAAGGCAGCCAUCUGGCCUAAUACUGACGCUGAGGUACGAAAGCAUGGGGAGCAAACAGGAUUAGAUACCCGAGUAGUCCCUGUCUCUUAUAA